Molecule: ribosomal RNA, 297 nt
Filed under: uncultured prokaryote
Description: partial 16S ribosomal RNA
Rfam family: Bacterial small subunit ribosomal RNA
Source: RNAcentral
GCGAGGAUAUUUAGCAAUGCCCGAAAGGGUGACUAUGCGACGCCGCGUGUGCGAUGAAGGUCUUCGGAUCGUAAAGCACUGUCAGCAGGGAGGAAUCUCAUGGGUCUUAACAAGGCCUCUGGGUGACAGUACCUGCAGAGGAAGCCACGGCUAACUCCGUGCCAGCAGCCGCGGUAAUACGGAGGUGGCAGGCGUUACUCGGAUUGAUUGGGUGUAAAGGGUGUGUAGGUGGCGUACUAAGUCGAAUGUGAAAGCCCGUGGCUCAACCACGGAAUUGCAUUCGAAACUGGUAUUCGU